GACGAACGCUGGCGGCGUGCUUAACACAUGCAAGUCGAACGGAAAGGCCCUGCUUUUGUGGGGUGCUCGAGUGGCGAACGGGUGAGUAACACGUGAGUAACCUGCCCUUGACUUUGGGAUAACUUCAGGAAACUGGGGCUAAUACCGGAUAGGAGCUCCUGCUGCAUGGUGGGGGGUGGAGAGUUUCGGCGGUUGGGGAUGGACUCGCGGCUUAUCAGCUUGUUGGUGGGGUAGUGGCUUACCAAGGCUUUGACGGGUAGCCGGCCUGAGAGGGUGACCGGCCACAUUGGGACUGAGAUACGGCCCAGACUCCUACGGGAGGCAGCAGUGGGGAAUAUUGCACAAUGGGCGGAAGCCUGAUGCAGCAACGCCGCGUGCGGGAUGACGGCCUUCGGGUUGUAAACCGCUUUCGCCUGUGACGAAGCGUGAGUGACGGUAAUGGGUAAAGAAGCACCGGCUAACUACGUG
This 468-nucleotide ribosomal RNA is filed under the name uncultured bacterium. RNAcentral's name for it is "partial 16S ribosomal RNA". It matches the Rfam family "Bacterial small subunit ribosomal RNA", at positions 28 to 507 of the family's 1533-position model. The record is from RNAcentral.